AUAGCUUCUCGGCCUUUUGGCUAAGAUCAAAGUGUAGUAUCUGUUCUUUUGAGAUAAGUCACGUUGAUCACGUGCCUCUUAAGUCUUUUGUUACAUGCGGUCCUUUUUCUCUUAGGUGGACGAACUAAUAAACAAAUAAACGAGCAGGUGCCUGCUCAGUUUGCAUUCCCU
This 171-nucleotide small nuclear RNA is filed under the name Strigamia maritima. RNAcentral's name for it is "U2 spliceosomal RNA". It matches the Rfam family "U2 spliceosomal RNA". Rfam says of the family: U2 is a small nuclear RNA (snRNA) component of the spliceosome (involved in pre-mRNA splicing). Complementary binding between U2 snRNA (in an area lying towards the 5' end but 3' to hairpin I) and the branchpoint sequence (BPS) of the intron results the bulging out of an unpaired adenosine, on the BPS, which initiates a nucleophilic attack at the intronic 5' splice site, thus starting the first of two transesterification reactions that mediate splicing. Lineage: Eukaryota; Metazoa; Arthropoda; Chilopoda; Geophilomorpha; Linotaeniidae. The record is from Rfam by way of RNAcentral.